Molecule: long non-coding RNA, 1179 nt
Filed under: Homo sapiens (human)
Lineage: Eukaryota; Metazoa; Chordata; Mammalia; Primates; Hominidae
Description: HSALNT0018354
Source: RNAcentral
CUGGCCAGGCGGGAGGGGCGGGGACGCAGCCGGAAGGCUGGAGGUUCCUGGAAGGCCUCUCCAAAUCCUUCCAACCCGAACAAUGGAAGGGAAGAAGGAAAGGAGGGGCUGAGGAAGGAAACAGACACUGACCAAAGCCCAGAGGUUGGAAACCAUGGCCACAUAAGACAUGCUGGCUUCUCCUUCACUUUCCACCAUGAUUGUAAGUUUCCUGAGACCUCCCCAGCCAUGCUUCCUGUAUAGCCUGCAGAACUCUCUUAAAAGCAGAGAUGAAGAGAAAAGAGUGAGUUCAAAAGACAGAGCAUGAGAAAGACCCCACCCGCUAUUACUGGCUUUGAAGAUGGAGAGAAGAGGCCACAAGCCAAGGAAUGCAGCAGCUUCCAGAAGCAUGAAAGAGCCCUUAGGUUACAGCCAGCAAGGGAAGGAAACUGCGACCCUACAGCCACAAGACUUGACUUCUGCCAACAGCCAGAAGGAGCAGGAAAUACGUUCUCCCUGAGAGCCUCCAGAAAGGAACACAGUCUGCCCACACCUUAAUUUUAGCCUGGGGAGGCCCAUACCAGGUCUCUGCUUUACAGAAUUGUAAGAUAAUAAAUUUGGAGUUUUUUUAAACUACUAAAUUUGUGGUCAUUUGUAAAGGCAGUAACAGAAAAACUAAAACACUUUACUAUCUAUACGUAGAUUUAACUGCUUUUUUUUUUUUUCUUUUUAAGAGAUGGUCUCACUCUGUUGCCCAAGUUGGAGUACAGAGGUGCAAUCAUAUCUCACUGCAGCCUUGAACUCCUGGGCUCAAGCCAUCCUCCCACCUCAGGCUCCUGGAUAACUGGGACUACAGGCACACCACCAUGCCUGGCUAAUUUUUUUUUUCUUUUUUUUUUUUAGAGAUGAGGUCUUGCUAUGUUGCCCAGCUGGUCUCAAAUUCCUAGCUUCAAAUGAUCCUCCCACCUUGGCCUCCCAAAGCUCUGGGAAUGAAGGCAUGAGCCACCAUGCCCAGUCUAGAUUUAACUUUUAAAUACAGUUCUAUUUUUAUAGGGGGGGAAAAUCCCAAAAUAGAAUAACAAGCAGGUUUUCUUUUACUCAGUUAACUAUUCCUAAGAGAAACCUUGAUAUUCUGGAUAUUUGAACCCUGAGACUAAUCCAGGCACCCUUUUCUCCUGGUAGCAGCUUGUGCAAUGAGGU